This 201-nucleotide unclassified non-coding RNA is filed under the name uncultured Trichoderma. RNAcentral's name for it is "sequence contains ITS1". The record is from RNAcentral. Lineage: Eukaryota; Fungi; Ascomycota; Sordariomycetes; Hypocreales; Hypocreaceae.
CCGAGUUUACAACUCCCAAACCCAAUGUGAACGUUACCAAACUGUUGCCUCGGCGGGAUCUUCUGCCCCGGGUGCGUCGCAGCCCCGGACCAAGGCGCCCGCCGGAGGAAUCAACCAAAACUCUUAUUGUAUACCCCCUCGCGGGUUUUUUAUAAUCUGAGCCUUCUCGGCGCCUCUCGUAGGCGUUUCGAAAAUGAAUCA